RNAcentral lists this long non-coding RNA (1369 nucleotides) under Astyanax mexicanus (Mexican tetra). RNAcentral describes it as "lncRNA (ENSAMXG00005009277.1)". The record is from RNAcentral. Lineage: Eukaryota; Metazoa; Chordata; Actinopteri; Characiformes; Acestrorhamphidae.
UUAAUGAGUGCCUUUAUUAAUAUCAUGUCAUGUCCCAUUACUAUAAAGUGUUAACAAAUUAUGGUGUCUUCAUGGAAUUAUUUUGAGGUUGUCAACUAAUCAAAUUUUCCCAUAUUUGAUCAGACAUCUACCAGGAAUAAAAAGAAUGACUUCUUAAAGGGCAAAGAUAUCUGGACAUCUAGCAAAAGAGGGGUAGUGAUGAAAAAGAGGGUGGCCUCUUAUGAAGCAUCUACUUCAGGCACAGUAGAUCCUGAUCACAACAGGCAAAGAAUGCAAAGCUUACCCAGGCAGCAAGAGCUGACGUGAUGAAAGACUACCCUUAAACAAAAAAAAGCCUCUGACAUCCACACAAGAUACUUCUGACCAGACAAACAUUGACACGGUUGACACAAACAUUGACAUGUUUGAAAAGAAAAGUUUACAUUAUAUAUGUUUUCUAACUUUUUAUCUUUAUUUUUUUAUGAUUUUUCUUUGAAGGCAACUCAAAGUUUCCUCUCUGUUUUUAAGGAUGAUGACGAUAAUGUUGGUGUGUCACAUUCAAAAUUCUGUGGUCCACUUGCUGCAUCAACUCACAGAGAGUUGUUUGAUGAAGAUAGUGAAGAAGAAGAAAGCCUUCUAGGUUGUCACCAGCCAGAGAAAGUCAUGGUAGAAAUUGAUAAUGAUGCCAUAAUUACAUCCCUCUGUGGUAAGUGCACAUUAAGAUUUGAGGUUGGAAUAAGUUAUUUUAUAUGUGAGAAGUACUAUGAGAAUUUAAGGCUGUCAUAGAGAGUAAGCAAGUGAUAUCACAUUUGUUGUCCAGUAGAAGUAUCAAUAGCAUAUACUAUGCAUAUAUCCAAGUGUGGAUGGGUGUAAACCAUUAAAAAAUUAACUGUAGCUGCUGUUGCAGGAUAUUUUUUAACACUUAAGAAAGCCCCGAGUUUCACCUCUUUGUGGUGCCAUUCAUGUGCAUUCAUCUCAUAAAAUAUUUCCAAUACAAUUUGAAGGCAGCACUUUUGUAAUCACAAAAACUCUUAAGAACAACUGGCUUUGUUGAAAUCAGUGUAAGGAAACCCAAUUUUGGCUACGUAUUGAUCUCCAAAGACCAUUGAUUCUUUUGUCAUUUCAAUUGGUUGCUGAUCAGUUGUUUCCUUGCAGGUUUGGCCGUUUACAUGAUACCAUUGCUGUUAAAGUUUGUUUUGCUUUCACAUUGCCAGUGGUGUGCCACUUUGCUUUCUGCUCUGCUUGACACUGGCCAGUUGUUGUUUUGUGAUUGCUUCUUACACAGAGGAUCACAUGCUGAUAAUAGGUGGGCUUUUUCAAAUAAUGUAUCUGUACAUUAUGUAACCAAUGUGUUGGUUCGAGAAUCUCUAAUAGAGACCAACCUGUCAGC